GUUUCGGUAGCUCAAUUGGUAGAGCACCUGUACGUGGUGAGUGAAAGCACCAAGCAAUAACUCUCAGGAGGUCGCACGAUCGAAGCCUGCACGGGAUU
This 98-nucleotide transfer RNA is filed under the name Meloidogyne enterolobii. RNAcentral describes it as "tRNA-His". The record is from RNAcentral. Lineage: Eukaryota; Metazoa; Nematoda; Chromadorea; Rhabditida; Meloidogynidae.